GCCUCCGUAGCUCAGGGGAUAGAGCGUUGGUUUCCGGUACCAAAGGUCGCAGGUUCGAUUCCUGUCGGGGGCGCCA
This 76-nucleotide transfer RNA is filed under the name Microbacterium sp. RNAcentral's name for it is "tRNA-Arg". It matches the Rfam family "tRNA". Rfam says of the family: Transfer RNA (tRNA) molecules are approximately 80 nucleotides in length. RNAcentral also lists the same sequence under 2 other names. The record is from RNAcentral. Lineage: Bacteria; Bacillati; Actinomycetota; Actinomycetes; Micrococcales; Microbacteriaceae.